UACGUAGGUGGCAAGCGUUGUCCGGAUUUACUGGGCGUAAAGGGUGUGUAGGCGGAAUUUUAAGUAGAAAGUGAAAGGUUGGAGCUCAACUCCAACACUGCUUCCUAUACUGGAAUUCUUGAGUCCCGGAGAGGAAGAUGGAACGACACGUGUAGCGGUGAAAUGCGUUGAUAUGUGUCGGAACACCAAUGGCGAAGGCAGCCCCCUGGGAUAACACUGACGCUCAUGCACGAAAGCGUGGGGAGCAAACAGG
RNAcentral lists this ribosomal RNA (253 nucleotides) under uncultured bacterium. RNAcentral's name for it is "partial 16S ribosomal RNA". It matches the Rfam family "Bacterial small subunit ribosomal RNA", at positions 524 to 776 of the family's 1533-position model. The record is from RNAcentral.